UGUAUUUGCAUCACCCAUCAAUUUUCAAUGUUCUGGCUGCAAAUGGGUGAUUUUUUUUUCACAUACAAAUUUCUUUUGCAUCUUUAGUAAUUACAGAGACCUGAGAUUUUCUCACAUAUUGGGACUCUAUGUAGCCAGAAUGGGGACAGACAUGGGACUGAAUGUGUGAGAUACUCCCAUAUAUUGUCAUACCAGCUGUGAGAGCCAUGUGCUACCUGAAUGUGAAGGGUGUUCUUGCCAUGUGGAUAACAGAGUUGGUAGAAUCUGCACCCAUUCCAACCUUCAUCUUUUUUCAGCAUGACGCAGGACAAAGAGUGGGGACUUCAUAGUCGGACAGUGCUUGACUUAGCACAGUGCUUGACUUAGCACAGUGCUUGACUUAGCACUGUGGCUACACAAUUUAAUGUGUAAAACCUGGCUACUUUUGAGUGUUUUUAUGAGAUGUAAUAAAAAAAUACAGUGGAUUCUGCUGAUGUGUGCAAUCCAGUGAGAAAACAGGACAUGAAGCCCACCACAACGUGUGCAACUAAAGACCCUCAUGACAGAGGACUUGGCAAGAAUGAUGGGG
Molecule: long non-coding RNA, 568 nt
Organism: Chinchilla lanigera (long-tailed chinchilla)
Lineage: Eukaryota; Metazoa; Chordata; Mammalia; Rodentia; Chinchillidae
Exons: 4
Source: RefSeq, a predicted model, not a curated record